CAUGCAUCUAGACUUCCUUCCCAACCUCUUUUGAAAAAAUUUUGUGAGACUUUUGCUGCUGAUUCUUAGGCAUCAAAGGGAGGCUCUCUUGCUGGUUUUACAGCAAAAAAUUGGAGAAAAAAAAUUUUUUUCAAUGAAAGAAAGAGGAAAAAGAAGAAUGGUCUUCUUUCUUGUACACAGUCUUGAAGAAGGAGUUCUUCUCAUAGAUUUUUUUUUAUUUUUUUUUAAGAUGAAAAUUAGAUUGGAUCUGAUUUUUAAUAUAAAAAUUUAGAAAAAAAAUAUCAAAAAAAAUUUG
Molecule: long non-coding RNA, 295 nt
Filed under: Elaeis guineensis (African oil palm)
Lineage: Eukaryota; Viridiplantae; Streptophyta; Magnoliopsida; Arecales; Arecaceae
Description: long non-coding RNA (EGUI_LNC018105)
Source: RNAcentral